Molecule: ribosomal RNA, 253 nt
Filed under: uncultured bacterium
Lineage: Bacteria
Description: partial 16S ribosomal RNA
Rfam family: Bacterial small subunit ribosomal RNA
Source: RNAcentral
UACAGAGGGUGCAAGCGUUAAUCGGAAUUACUGGGCGUAAAGCGUGCGUAGACGGUCAUGUAAGUCGGGUGUGAAAGCCCCGGGCUCAACCUGGGAACGGCAUUGGAAACUGGCUUACUGGAGUGCGGUAGAGGGGUGUGGAAUUCCCGGUGUAGCAGUGAAAUGCGUAGAUAUCGGGAGGAACAUCGGUGGCGAAGGCGACACCCUGGACCAGCACUGACACUGAGGCACGAAAGCGUGGGGAGCAAACAGG